GUCCCUGUAGCGCAAUGGACAUCUAAUCCAAAGGUCGUGGGUUUGAAUCCCACCUGGGAUG
Molecule: transfer RNA, 61 nt
Filed under: Trichonephila inaurata madagascariensis
Lineage: Eukaryota; Metazoa; Arthropoda; Arachnida; Araneae; Nephilidae
Rfam family: tRNA
About the family: Transfer RNA (tRNA) molecules are approximately 80 nucleotides in length.
Source: Rfam by way of RNAcentral